AGCCUGACUGGAACUGGUCGCAGAGGAUCAUUGAGGCCUCCCACUUAUUCUACACCUCUUAUGUCUCUUCACAGGGCCAAACUCGGGGACAGCGUCAGAUGGGGAGUUUGGCUGGCGCGGUACACCUGUCAAACCGCAACACAGGUGUCCUAAGGCGAGCUCAAAGAGGACAGAAACCUCCCGCGGAGCAGAAGGGCAAAAGCUCGCUUGAUCUUGAUUUUCAGUACGAAUACAGACCGUGAAAGCGGGGCCUCACGCUCCUUCUGGCUUUUUGGGUUUUAAGCAGGAGGUGUCAGAAAAGUU
Molecule: ribosomal RNA, 303 nt
Filed under: Podarcis lilfordi (Lilford's wall lizard)
Lineage: Eukaryota; Metazoa; Chordata; Lepidosauria; Squamata; Lacertidae
Description: Eukaryotic large subunit ribosomal RNA
Rfam family: Eukaryotic large subunit ribosomal RNA
Source: Rfam by way of RNAcentral